GCCGAGGUGGCGGAAUGGUAGACGCGCAUGGUUUAGGACCAUGUGGGGAUUUCCCCGUGGGGGUUCGAAUCCUCUCCUCGGCA
RNAcentral lists this transfer RNA (83 nucleotides) under Candidatus Blackburnbacteria bacterium. Its description in RNAcentral is "tRNA-Leu". It matches the Rfam family "tRNA". From Rfam's summary of the family: Transfer RNA (tRNA) molecules are approximately 80 nucleotides in length. Their secondary structure includes four short double-helical elements and three loops (D, anti-codon, and T loops). The record is from RNAcentral. Lineage: Bacteria; Candidatus Blackburniibacteriota.